This is a ribosomal RNA of 1095 nucleotides. It matches the Rfam family "Bacterial large subunit ribosomal RNA", at positions 198 to 2064 of the family's 2925-position model.
ACCCAUCAAUAACUGAAAAAUAUAAAUAAACAAAAUAAGCCUACACCAAAAACUUAAACCAUUCUUUUACCUAAGUAUGGGAGACAGAAAAGGUCACAUAAAGCAAUAGAGAUAGUACCGCAAGGGAAAGCUGAAAGAGAGGUGAAACAGCCCAUAUAAGCACAAAAAAGCAAAGAUUAAACCCUGUACCUUUUGCAUCAUGAUUUAGCCAGUACACCCAAGCAAAGAGACCUUUAGUUUGAAACCCCGAAACCAGGUGAGCUACCCCGAGACAGCCUAUUGAGGGCCAACCCGUCUCUGUGGCAAAAGAGUGGGAAGAGCUCCGGGUAGAAGUGACAGACCUACCGAACCUGGUGAUAGCUGGUUGCCUAGGAAAUGAAUAGAAGUUCAGCCUCAUUCCCCCUCAAAUCAAAACGCAAACAAGACACCAAGAGAUACAUAUGAGAGUUAGUUAAAGGGGGUACAGCCCCUUUAACAAAGGACACAACCUUUCCAGGAGGAUAAAGAUCAUAAUAUAUAAAAUAUACCGUUUCAGUGGGCCUAAAAGCAGCCACCUAAACAGAAAGCGUUAAAGCUCAGACGGAAAGAAGUUUAUUAUCCUGAUAAAUAAUCUUACUCCCCUAAUUACUACUAGGCCAACCCAUGCCCACAUGGGAGGGACUAUGCUAAAAUGAGUAACAAGAAGGCCCGCCCUUCUCCAAGCACAAGUGUAAGCAAAAUCGGACCCGCCAUUGGCAAUUAACGAACUCAACCCCAGAGAGCAAUGUGGACUACAAAAAGACCAAGAAGAAUCCACAAUCAACCCAUCGUUACCCCCACACUGGAGUGCAUUAAAGGAAAGACUAAAAGAAAGGGAAGGAACUCGGCAAACACAAGCCUCGCCUGUUUACCAAAAACAUCGCCUCCUGCAACACAGCCAAGUAUAGGAGGUCCAGCCUGCCCAGUGACGAUAAGUUCAACGGCCGCGGUAUCCUGACCGUGCGAAGGUAGCGCAAUCACUUGUCUUUUAAAUAGAGACCUGUAUGAAUGGCCAAACGAGGGCUUAACUGUCUCCCCUUUCAAGUCAGUGAAAUUGAUCUACCCGUGCAGAAGCGG